RNAcentral lists this ribosomal RNA (470 nucleotides) under uncultured bacterium. RNAcentral's name for it is "bacterial SSU rRNA". It matches the Rfam family "Bacterial small subunit ribosomal RNA", at positions 18 to 534 of the family's 1533-position model. The record is from RNAcentral.
CCUGGCUCAGAACGAACGCUGGCGGCAGGCUUAACACAUGCAAGUCGAACGUCCUGGCAACAGGGCGUGGCAGACGGGUGCGUAACGCGUGGGAACAUACCUUUCGGUUCGGAAUAACCCAGGGAAACUUGGGACAAUACCGGAUACGUGCGAAAGCAGAAAGAUUUAUCGCCGAAAGAUUGGCCCGCGUCCGAUUAGCUAGUUGGUGAGGUAAUGGCUCACCAAGGCGACGAUCGGUAGCUGGUCUGAGAGGAUGAUCAGCCACACUGGGACUGAGACACGGCCCAGACUCCUACGGGAGGCAGCAGUGGGGAAUAUUGGACAAUGGGCGAAAGCCUGAUCCAGCCAUGCCGCGUGAGUGAUGAAGGCCCUAGGGUUGUAAAGCUCUUUCGCCAGGGACGAUAAUGACGGUACCUGGAGAAGAAGCCCCGGCUAACUUCGUGCCAGCAGCCGCGGUAAUACGAAGGGGG